This 465-nucleotide ribosomal RNA is filed under the name uncultured bacterium. RNAcentral describes it as "partial 16S ribosomal RNA". It matches the Rfam family "Bacterial small subunit ribosomal RNA", at positions 28 to 507 of the family's 1533-position model. The record is from RNAcentral.
GAUGAACGCUGGCGGCGUGCUUAACACAUGCAAGUCGAACGGAAAGGCUCCUGCUUGCAGGGGUACUCGAGUGGCGAACGGGUGAGUAACACGUGGGUGAUCUGCCCUGCACUUCGGGAUAAGCCUUGGAAACUGGGUCUAAUACCGGAUAGGACGAUGGUUUGGAUGCCAUUGUGGAAAGUUUUUCGGUGUGGGAUGAGCUCGCGGCCUAUCAGCUUGUUGGUGGGGUAAUGGCCUACCAAGGCGUCGACGGGUAGCCGGCCUGAGAGGGUGUACGGCCACAUUGGGACUGAGAUACGGCCCAGACUCGUACGGGAGGCAGCAGGGGGGAAUAUUGCACAAUGGGCGCAAGCCUGAUGCAGCGACGCCGGGUGGGGGAUGACGGCCUUCGGGUUGUAAACGCCUUUCGCUAGGGACGAAGCGCAAGUGACGGUACCUGGAGAAGAAGCACCGGCUAACUACGUG